GACGAACGCUGGCGGCGUGCUUAACACAUGCAAGUCGAACGAUGAAGCCGGAGCUUGCUCUGGUGAAUUAGUGGCGAACGGGUGAGUAACACGUGAGUAACCUGCCCUUGACUCUGGGAUAACUGCGGGAAACUGUAGCUAAUACCGGAUACGACCCUCGGAGGCAUCUCCUGGGGGUGGAAAGAAUUUCGGUCAAGGAUGGACUCGCGGCCUAUCAGCUAGUUGGCGAGGUAAAGGCUCACCAAGGCGACGACGGGUAGCCGGCCUGGGAGGGUGACCGGCCACACUGGGACUGAGACACGGCCCAGACUCCUACGGGAGGCAGCAGUGGGGAAUAUUGCACAAUGGGCGCAAGCCUGAUGCAGCAACGCCGCGUGAGGGAUGACGGCCUUCGGGUUGUAAACCUCUUUUAGCAGGGAAGAAGCGAAAGUGACGGUACCUGCAGAAAAAGCACCGGCUAACUACGUGCCAGCAGCCGCCGUAA
RNAcentral lists this ribosomal RNA (484 nucleotides) under uncultured bacterium. Its description in RNAcentral is "partial 16S ribosomal RNA". It matches the Rfam family "Bacterial small subunit ribosomal RNA", at positions 28 to 523 of the family's 1533-position model. The record is from RNAcentral.